GUUUAAGGAGUACAGGCUAAAUCCGCCACGUCCUGUGGCAACGCCAGCAUGCCAAUCCUGUGGG
This 64-nucleotide small RNA is filed under the name Sediminibacillus halophilus. RNAcentral's name for it is "Bacillaceae-1 RNA". It matches the Rfam family "Bacillaceae-1 RNA". Lineage: Bacteria; Bacillati; Bacillota; Bacilli; Caryophanales; Bacillaceae. The record is from RNAcentral.